This 253-nucleotide ribosomal RNA is filed under the name uncultured prokaryote. RNAcentral describes it as "partial 16S ribosomal RNA". It matches the Rfam family "Bacterial small subunit ribosomal RNA", at positions 524 to 776 of the family's 1533-position model. The record is from RNAcentral.
UACGUAGGUGGCGAGCGUUGUCCGGAUUUACUGGGCGUAAAGGGCUUGUAGGCGGUCCGCUAAGUCUGGUGUGAAAUCUCCCGGCUCAACUGGGAGGGGUCAUCGGAUACUGGCGGACUUGAGGGGGGUAGAGGAAAGCAGAAUUCCUGGUGUAGCGGUGAAAUGCGUAGAUAUCAGGAGGAAUACCAGUGGCGAAGGCGGCUUUCUGGGCCUACCCUGACGCUGAGGAGCGAAAGCGUGGGGAGCAAACAGG